Molecule: ribosomal RNA, 442 nt
Filed under: uncultured bacterium
Lineage: Bacteria
Description: partial 16S ribosomal RNA
Rfam family: Bacterial small subunit ribosomal RNA
Source: RNAcentral
CCUACGGGUGGCAGCAGUGGGGAAUAUUGGGCAAUGGGCGCAAGCCUGACCCAGCAACGCCGCGUGAAGGAAGAAGGCUUUCGGGUUGUAAACUUCUUUUGUCCGGGAAGAGUAGAAGACGGUACCUGACGAAUAAGCCACGGCUAACUACGUGCCAGCAGCCGCGGUAAUACGUAGGUGGCAAGCGUUGUCCGGAUUUACUGGGUGUAAAGGGCGUGUAGCCGGGUUGUCAAGUGAGAUGUGAAAUCCUGCGGCUUAACCGGAGAACUGCAUUUGAAACUGUUGAUCUUGAGUACUGGAGAGGCAGAUGGAAUUCCUAGUGUAGCGGUGAAAUGCGUAGAUAUUAGGAGGAACACCAGUGGCGAAGGCGGUCUGCUGGACAGCAACUGACGGUGAGGCGCGAAAGCGUGGGGAGCAAACAGGAUUAGAUACCCCUGUAGUC